AACGAACGCUGGCGGCGUGCUUAACACAUGCAAGUCGAACGGAGAGCGAUGGAAGCUUGGUUCUAUCAAUCUUAGUGGCGAACGCGUGAGUAACGUGUAAUCAACCUGCCCUUCACAUGGGGCCUACAGUUGGAAACGAUUGCCUAUACCGCAUACGAUCUAAUCUCGGCAUCGAGGAUAGAUGAAAAGUGGCCGCUACUUGUUAGCCAUCUCUGUAAGAGGGGAGUGCGCGUGAUUAGCGCGUUCGAGGGGUACCGGCCCACCAAGGUGAUGAUCAGUAGCCGGUCUGAGGGGGUGAACGGCCACAAUGGGACUGAGGCACGGCCCAGGCUGCUGAGGGAGGCAGCGGUAGGGAAUCAUUGGCGAUGGAGGAAAGUCUGGCGGAGCAACGACGCGUGAGUGAAAACAGCCUUCGGGUUGUAAAACUCUGUUAGUCGGGAAGAAAGAGCUUCAUGCGAAUACAGAGAAGGAUUGACGGUACCGAAAUAAAAAGCCACGGCUAACUACGUG
RNAcentral lists this ribosomal RNA (510 nucleotides) under uncultured bacterium. RNAcentral describes it as "partial 16S ribosomal RNA". It matches the Rfam family "Bacterial small subunit ribosomal RNA", at positions 29 to 507 of the family's 1533-position model. The record is from RNAcentral.